RNAcentral lists this long non-coding RNA (1290 nucleotides) under Equus caballus (horse). RNAcentral's name for it is "lncRNA (ENSECAG00000045348.1)". Lineage: Eukaryota; Metazoa; Chordata; Mammalia; Perissodactyla; Equidae. The record is from RNAcentral.
UGAGAAAGCCAGGGGAGCCAAAGGAAGGAGAUCACUGUUCGGAUAUCUGUAACCUCUGGAAAUUGUCUUGGCAGCCACGGCUUAGCCCAGUAAGGUUUUCACGUUUUCUACCUGGACGAUUCCUGACUCCCUUGGCCAGAAUUAUGCGACCGUCUCACCUUUGGUCCAGCAGUAAGACGUGACAUCCCGGUGCCAGAGCCCCCUCCUAGAGCACCCGGCUGUCGGGCGCUGGUGCAGCUGUCUCCCUGCUCCCACUCCUGUCCUCCUCCUGGCUGGAGUGAACUUUUAAAACUGGCUCCUGAAAUUCAGUGACUUAAGAGCCUUGAAUGGCUUCCCAUCAUUAGUCCGAGAACCUGCUGUGUAACAGGCUCUCAGCAAGAACUGACUGACUUGCUGAGGGAACGAGCCUGGUGGAUAAGGAGCCUAAAGACCGAGGGCUUUCCACCUGAUGGACGCCUCUGGCUUGGAUCAGAAGGCAGGCCUGUCUGCUCAGAGGCAGUUGGUGAAUAUGGGGUUUGAAUAAUGUUGAAGGUUUGGAACGAUGCGAUUCUUCUAGAGGAUUGGCGUCUGCACAUUCAUUCCUACAUUCGUUCGUGUCUCCCACCAGCAGAGAAGCAGCCAGCUGGGGAAACAGCACAGGUUUCCAUGCCUGUCCUCACUAACUCCUACUUAUGCUUGAUGACUCAACGGAAGGAUUUGCUCCUCUCUGUCCAUACUUCCCAGUGUUCUUCUACAUGGCGUGUAGCAAUGUGGGGCGCCUCCUCCAGUGCGGAUGUGUCUAGGGUUGCCCACAGCUUACAUAUCCCCAGCCGGCAUAAGCCUUUCAGAAACAGAUGGGGCUGGUCCAUGGUGUAGUGGUUAAGUCCAGCAUGCUCCGCUUUGGUGGCCUGGGGUUUGCAGGUCUGGAUCCUGGGCACGGACCUACACCACUCGUCAAGCCAUGCUGUGGCAGCGACCCACAUACAAAAUAGAGGAAAGUUUGGCAUAGAUGUUAGCUCAGGGCUGAUAUUCCUCAAGCAAAAAAAGGAAGAUUGGCAACGGAUGUUAGCUCAGAGCAAAUCUUCCUUACCCCCUUCCCUCCCCAAAAAGCAAAAAAACCCAGAUAAACUGAUGGCACUUGAAUAGAAUGGGCUCCCAAGAGGUCCCAGCCUGCCCUGGAUGCUUCCAGGAAGAAUAAAUAGCCACGUAAUUCCUGUUCUGCUGCCUGCCUCCUGUUCCAGCCUUCAGGCCCACGUUACAGGAGGAGGGCAGGCAGGUCCUUCUUCCAGGAGAGUGAGCCGUUUCCUGCAC